AGGCGAUCGAGUCUGGUGAGAACCAAUCCCUCAAAUGAUUCGUUGUUCCCCGUUGCUGCCUAGCGACCAAAAAUUCGAACCUGAGCAUCUGGAAUUUGUAACAGGGUGUUAAACUCUUUUAUCGUCGCACAAGUGAAACUCACCGAAUUGUUAAACGUUCAACAAUCAAUUUAAUUUACACAUUUUUAUACACUGUAUUAAAUCGUUUUACAAUACUUAAUCGACGAUUACGGUCAACUUUUGUGAUAGAAUUAAUACGAUGUAAUAUACAUUUAAUAACUGGGUUUAGUGCAUUUUUAGUUAUUUCUUUUCGCGACGGUGAAAACUACAACGAACCGAGGUUUUCAGACCAGACAUUUUUCUGCGAUUCACCGUUCGACGCCGUGACUCGAGGAGACCCGAUUUUCUUCACAGAGAGGAAUCUUUCAAAGAGGGACUCGAUACUUAUUCUGGACCUCUUUAUCAACAACUUUACUGUUCUGGCAUUCGCCCAUGCCCUCGGGGAAACCAGGAUUUAAAAACCCGAGGCUUACUUCUGGAAACUCUGCUGGUUCCCGUGGCCGUUUAAUUCCAUGAUCUAGAUCAAUCGCAGCCGGAUGUUCUUUCAAUAAAAAGACUUGCUGGAUAACAACACUAUCUCCUGUUCCAUCCGGUAUAAGAAUAUUGACAAGGAUUAUGUCAUCCGAAGCUGAAAUUAAAAAUUCAAGCCAAGAAGAGAAAUUACCUCCGGAGUGCUAUCGAGAAGAUGCUCUUUAUUAUGAUUGUUAUCGAGGAGAAGAUGAAGAAGGUCCGUAUCAGACACACGAGCAAAAACUCCAAAAACUCGAACAAUUGGACAAUAAAGGAUACUGCCCGCGGAGAAUUGAAGAGGUGUAUCCUAACAUUGAAAUAACAACUCGAGAAACAUUGGAAGAACAAAUCAAACGAUUUGAACAAUUAAAAAAGCAAGUGGAAUAUAAAGAAUACUGCGAAUCGGAUAAACCUUUGAAUGAUACUAAGAAACAACGAGAAGAAAAUAAGGAUGGACCAGACAAAUAAAUUUCUUUAAAUCAUCAAUAUGUAUGAAAACUUAACAAAUUUGUUUUUUUUACACUUUGGUAAAAAUUGGCCUUGUUAGUUUAUUGCUUUUAUUUAAUAUCUAAUAAAAAUAGAAGUUCAAUAUAGAACAAUGUCAGAUUCGUUACCAUAAUCAAUAUUUAGAUUCUCUUGUAUAUACUUUCUGGGAUUAAACAUUUUAAUUUUGAUUUUAA
This is a long non-coding RNA of Orussus abietinus, 1250 nucleotides long. RefSeq lists it as uncharacterized. The record is from RefSeq and is a predicted model, not a curated record. Lineage: Eukaryota; Metazoa; Arthropoda; Insecta; Hymenoptera; Orussidae. The transcript is spliced from 4 exons.